UAAAAUGGAAUAGCAUAUCAGAUAAAUAUGACAUGGUCCUGGAUUUUAAAUAGUGACCCGUUGCACAGCUUCUGAUGAUGUUCAUGUUACGAGUUUGGGCUUCUCAAGACUCUCAGUGUAGCUGCAGAAUUCAAUCUAUGUUUCCUGAUAGCUUCUUGACCUGGAAAUGGACCAGUAUAGUGAUUGACAAUCUUGGAUGCCGACUGGAGACAUCUGGAGAGUUUAAAAUGUUACUGAUCCUGAUAGACUGAGAAAUCCUUUGAUUUAAUUUGCAUUGAAGAAAAUUUAUCUGAAAGGCUCGCAAGCAUUUCCUGCAGGCCAGCAUGCACUGAUUCAGCUCUGUGUUGGCUUUCUUCUUCUUGAAAUAUAGUGCAAGAAACAGACUCAGACAAAUUCUCCACCUUUUCCAGGGAGCCACCAACCACUCUUUGACACAUGUUCAGGGGAUGCCAACCACGUGACACCUUAUACUGGACAGAAGAAACUGACAAUCGUUAUUGGUCACAUAUGCUUACGUCCCAGGAGAAGAGAAUACCAGGCACACUACAGGGUUGCAUGGGACUUGGCUCAGGAAGAGGGAUGAAUCAAAAAGACAUGUUUGGAGCUAUCUCCCUUGUUCAGGAAAAAUUGGAAACUAAAUUUAUUGCAUACUUUCUCAAAGAAAACAUGGAGCAGCACUGGGUCAGUGAGAUGGCUUCCAGAGUCAGACUGAACUGCAAUCCAUGCUCUAUCACGUGAAGAAGAUUUGACAUUGGGUAAGUCUGUCAUCCUCUGUGAGCUUCAGCUGACUCGACGCUAAGGAUGUGUAUUGCAACAGUAUAAUAAAGACAAGGGCUCAGGAUGU
Long non-coding RNA from Sciurus carolinensis (gray squirrel), 844 nucleotides. RefSeq lists it as uncharacterized. NCBI's taxonomy places the organism in Eukaryota, Metazoa, Chordata, Mammalia, Rodentia, Sciuridae. The transcript is spliced from 6 exons. The record is from RefSeq and is a predicted model, not a curated record.